GCACGGGUGAGUAAUAUAUAGAUAACGUACCUCUUAGUCUGGGAUAGCCAUUGGAAACGAUGAUUAAUACCGGAUACUCCUUCUAACUAUAAUGUUAGUCGGGAAAGUUUUUCGCUAAGAGAUCGGUCUAUAUCCCAUCAGCUUGUUGGUAGUGUAAGAGACUACCAAGGCUAUGACGGGUAGCGGGUUUGAGAGGAUGAUCCGCCACACUGGUACUGAGACACGGACCAGACUCC
This 236-nucleotide ribosomal RNA is filed under the name uncultured bacterium. RNAcentral describes it as "partial 16S ribosomal RNA". It matches the Rfam family "Bacterial small subunit ribosomal RNA", at positions 100 to 339 of the family's 1533-position model. The record is from RNAcentral.